UAUUGGACAAUGGGGGGAACCCUGAUUCAGCGACGCCGCGUGAGUGAAGAAGUAUCUCGGUAUGCACAGCUCUAUCAGCAGUGAAGAAGAAAUGACGGUACCUGAGUACGAAGCCUCGGCUAACUACGCGCCAGCAGCCGCGGUAAUACGUAGGGGGCAAGCGUUAUCCGGGAUUACUGGGUGUAAAGGGAGCGUAGACGGUGAUGUAAGUCUGGAGUGAAAGGCGGGGGCCCAACCCCCGGACUGCUCUGGAAACUAUGUGACUGGAGUGCAGGAGAGGUGAGCGGAAUUCCUAGUGUAGCGGUGAAAUGCGUAGAUAUUAGGAGGAACACCAGUGGCGAAGGCGGCUCACUGGACUGUAACUGACGUUGAGGCUCGAAAGCGUGGGGAGCAAACAGG
RNAcentral lists this ribosomal RNA (399 nucleotides) under uncultured bacterium. Its description in RNAcentral is "bacterial SSU rRNA". It matches the Rfam family "Bacterial small subunit ribosomal RNA", at positions 362 to 776 of the family's 1533-position model. The record is from RNAcentral.